This 371-nucleotide ribosomal RNA is filed under the name uncultured bacterium. Its description in RNAcentral is "bacterial SSU rRNA". It matches the Rfam family "Bacterial small subunit ribosomal RNA", at positions 527 to 896 of the family's 1533-position model. The record is from RNAcentral.
AGAGGGUGCAAACGUUGUUCGGAAUUACUGGGCGUAAAGCGCGUGCAGGCGGCCUUGCAAGUCGGACGUGAAAUCCCACGGCUCAACCGUGGAAGUGCAUUCGAAACUGCGAGGCUGGAGUCCUGGAGAGGAAAGUGGAAUACUCGGUGUAGAGGUGAAAUUCGUAGAUAUCGAGUGGAACACCGGUGGCGAAGGCGGCUUUCUGGACAGGUACUGACGCUGAGACGCGAAAGCGUGGGGAGCAAACAGGAUUAGAUACCCUGGUAGUCCACGCCGUAAACGAUGAGUGCUAGGUGUCACGGGCUUUGACCCUCGUGGUGCCGAAGCUAACGCGUUAAGCACUCCGCCUGGGGAGUACGGCCGCAAGGUUA